RNAcentral lists this transfer RNA (71 nucleotides) under Notoraja tobitukai (Leadhued skate). RNAcentral's name for it is "tRNA-Thr". It matches the Rfam family "tRNA". Rfam says of the family: Transfer RNA (tRNA) molecules are approximately 80 nucleotides in length. Their secondary structure includes four short double-helical elements and three loops (D, anti-codon, and T loops). The record is from RNAcentral. Lineage: Eukaryota; Metazoa; Chordata; Chondrichthyes; Rajiformes; Arhynchobatidae.
GUCUUGGUAGCCUAAAAUAAGGUAUCGGUCUUGUAAACCGAAGAUUGGAAGUGUGAACCUUCCCCAAAACU